AUUUUCUUCAGGGAUUCCAGUAUGGACCAGAAAGGAGGAGGUUUAUAUUCAGUAGACUGUGUAAGUAACUGCUGCUUCCCAGGCCUUGAACUUAAAAAUUUCAAUAUCUCUGACUUAGGAUAAGAGAGUCUUGUAGAUUCAUGGGAGUUGGAGAAAGUUAGAUUCCUGUCACAGUUACAGCAAUAAUGAGAAUGUGUCUGUGCCUUACACACAGUCUUGGUGAUUUGUUACAUUUUCUCUAAGCAUGUGUGACAGGGUUCUCUAUUCACCCUGUAUGACAGGGUUCUACAUUCACAGUACAUAAGUUCAACAUGUGUAAUACAUUACAAAUCCAUUAAUGUUCUGGGAUGGUACCAGAGAUGAGCAGAGACUCUCAGAUGACUAAGCAUUGCACCCCCAGAAAGGACUGUGAAUGAAUAUGUGCAUGCAGAGUGGUAACCUAUAGAGCUUUAUUUAGCGACAGUCUUGCAGCAGUGAAUUUGAGACUAUGAAUAGCAAAUGGACGCCCUCAGAUUUGCUUAGAUCCAUGCAUCCUUUUACAUGGUCCAAAGUUAGUGUAAGAGACUUUAAUAUACUGUGACUGAAGAGUUAGAUCUCUGUAAUUAGGCCUGAAGGGUGUGUGUAUAUACACAUACAUGUAUAUAUGUGUAUACACAUACAUGGUAAUAAUUAAAAGAUGCAGUCUGCAUUUUGAAUUAUACUUUCCUGCCUCCUUUCUAGGAAGGUCUAGGUCAAUUAGCUCUCAGUAAUCACAAGUAUGUAUGAAUGAAAAUGCUAUUUAAAUAAAAGAAGAGCCGAUGCUUAAGGCAAUUUUUAACUAGCAGUCUCAAAUUACCACCUUUGCUAAUAGAUUUCAUAUGACCUUGUUCAGAUGGUACUUAUCCCAGAAUAGUACACCCUGCUACUUGGGAAACAGCAAAAUGCCAGUCCUUUCAUGUGAUACUAUGGCAAUAAGGGUCCUUUGUGAGGCUUGA
Molecule: long non-coding RNA, 974 nt
Filed under: Anas platyrhynchos platyrhynchos (common mallard)
Lineage: Eukaryota; Metazoa; Chordata; Aves; Anseriformes; Anatidae
Description: lncRNA (ENSAPLG00000028336.1)
Source: RNAcentral